This 1065-nucleotide ribosomal RNA is filed under the name uncultured bacterium. RNAcentral's name for it is "bacterial SSU rRNA". It matches the Rfam family "Bacterial small subunit ribosomal RNA", at positions 418 to 1501 of the family's 1533-position model. The record is from RNAcentral.
GUGUUUUGUUAACCUUUUUUUUGACGCCAAGGCCAUUAAAGGGUACGUUAAGCCCGAUGAGAAUAUUUGGGAUAAGCAUCGGCUAUCCCGGUGCAGCAGGCGGGGUAAUCGGAGGAUUCGGAGCGUUUUCCGGAUUUAUUGGGUUUAAAGGGUGGUAGGCUGUUUUUGUAAGUCAGCGGGAAAGACCGGGCCCAACUCCCGGAAGUGCCGUUGAUACUGCAUUCUAGAGUUCCCCUGCCGUGGGGAAUGAGUGGUGUAGCGGUGAAAUGCAUAGAUAUCACUCAGAACACCGAUUGCGAAGGCAUCUCACGAAGAGGCAACUGACGCUGAGGCACGAAAGCGUGGGGAUCAAACAGGAUUAGAUACCCUGGUAGUCCACGCUGUAAACGAUGAUGACUAGCUGCCGGCGAUACACUGUCGGUGGCCCAGCGAAAGCGAUAAGUCAUCCACCUGGGGAGUACGACCGCAAGGUUGAAACUCAAAGGAAUUGACGGGGGCCCGCACAAGCGGAGGAACAUGUGGUUUAAUUCGAUGAUACGCGAGGAACCUUACCCGGGCUCGAACGGCAGACGACAUAUACAGAGACGUAUAUUCCCUUCGGGGCGUCUGUCGAGGUGCUGCAUGGUUGUCGUCAGCUCGUGUCGUGAGAUGUUGGCUUAAGUGCCAUAACGAGCGCAACCCUUGUCGUUAGUUGCCAUCAAGUUAAGUUGGGGACUCUAGCGAGACUGCCACCGCAAGGUGUGAGGAGGGAGGGGAUGACGUCAAAUCAGCACGGCCCUUACGUCCGGGGCGACACACGUGUUACAAUGGCGGUUACAAAGGGCAGCCACCCGGCGACGGGGCGCCAAUCUCUAAAAGCCGCCUCAGUUCGGACUGGAGUCUGCAACUCGACUCCACGAAGCUGGAUUCGCUAGUAAUCGCGCAUCAGCCACGGCGCGGUGAAUACGUUCCCGGGCCUUGUACACACCGCCCGUCAAGCCAUGAAAGCCGGGGGUGCCUGAAGUUCGUGACCGCGAGGAGCGACCUAGGGCAAACCUGUAAUGGCUAAGUCGUAACAAGGUAACC